UGGCAAAAAGUAAACGCUAUUGCCAAAAGAAGAAAAAAAAAAACAAAGAGUAUAAUAAUAUAUAGGGAAUGUAAGCAAUUUUAUGCGAUGGUGCAGACAAUGUAAGCACACUUUUUAUAGUCGUAUGUAAACUGCGUAUCAAUCACCAAUCACCAAGCGUGUGUGUUCUAUAAAAAAGUGCUCAAAUAAUAGGUAAAGAUGGUGUGAAUGUAACCGGUUUCCCGUACACCAGAUAAUGAAAGAGAAUUGGUACCAGUUCGUAGCAAAAGAGAGAUGUGAAAACAAGAACAAACCAAUUAAGUUGAGUGUCUUUUGCUCGAAUCAGUUCCUCGAGGCUGAUUUAUAUUUCACCAGAUUUAAGCGUUUAAAAAUUCAUGCUCAUAAAGUUUGAUAAAACUUUGUUUACACACAUAACUUCAAUUUAGCAACAUUGACAGUUUUGACAAAAGCUGUCAUAUAAAGAUAUGUUGAUGUCCGCCAACACUACAUAUGCCCAAAAGAUACCCUGGAAAAGAUGUAUUAAAGACAAGUUUUUAACAAAUUUAAUUUAUUUCAGGGAACUUAACAUUUUAUAUACCAUAUUACCGAAUUAUUUAAUGUAAAUAAUAAUAUUAUAUUUCACUUCAUUAUCAACAGCCGGAAGACGUCCACUACUGGCAAAGACCUGCCCCAAAGAUCUCCACGACGACCGGUCCUACGCUGCCCUCGUCCAACGUAUUCCGGCGACCUUGACCCAGAUCGUUGGUCAAUCUUGUGGGAGGCCUGCCGACACUGUGUCUUUCGGUACGUGGUCGCUAUUUGAGCACUUUUCUGCCCAACCGGCCAUCUGUCCGUUGACCUAUGUGUCCUGCCCACUGCCACUUCAGUUUCGCAAUCAUUUGGGCUAUGUGGGUGAUCUUGGUUCUCCUGCAGAUCUCCUCAUUCCUGAUUCGAUCUCGCCGAGAAACUCCGAGCCUUAUCCAUUGCCCUCUAAGCCACAAUUAGCUUCUUCAUAAGGUCCAUAGUUAGCAAGCACCUCUGCGUUCCCUCUGUCACCACUGGCAACACACACUGGUUGAAAACCUUCGUCUUCAGACACUGCGGUAUUUGGGGCGAGAAGAUGUUACGGAGCUUCCCGAACGCUGUCCAUCCGAGUUGGAUUCGACGAGUGAUCUCUUUCCCCAAAUUGGACCUGCUUAACUGGAUUAUUCGUCCAAGGUAGACGUACUCGUCAACAAUUUCGAGAGUACAGUUUUCAAUUGUUACGGGAGUAAGUGCGACAUAGACAUUUGACAUAAUCUUCGUCUUGUCCAUGUUCAUUUUGAGACCUACUCCUUGGGAAGCUGUAUUGAGGCCAUCGAGCAUAUGGCUUAAGUCUUCCAUAUUCUCUACCAUGACUACGAUAUCGUCAGCGAAUCGGAAGUAGAGUGAUAUAUUCGCUGUUGAUAUUGAUGCCCAUUCCGUUCCAGUCCAGAAGCUUAAAGACAUCUUCCAACGCAGCGGUGAACAUCUUGGGCGAUAUGACAUCGCCUUGUCUGACUCCCCAAUGCAGUCGGAUAGGCUUCGAGAUCUGAUCCUGGAGACGGGCUGACAUGGUGGUCGAACUCCAAGCAAAGGACUUGGACGGAGUGACAACAACCCAACAGCUGAAGGAUUUGCUACAAUUUCAUUGGGAGUGAAUACCACAAGAUGGCAUAAACAGUCUCAUUAAUUCAAUGAAUAAUCGUUGCCGACAAGUUCUGAAUAGCAGAGGAGGCCAUACUUUGUACUAAAUUAUCCUAUUCUUUCACAAUAAAUUCAUUUUCUUUAGAAAUUUCAUUUUGUUAAAUAAAUGUUUAGUUGCUUAUGUACCUUAGUUU
Molecule: long non-coding RNA, 1838 nt
Organism: Leptidea sinapis
Lineage: Eukaryota; Metazoa; Arthropoda; Insecta; Lepidoptera; Pieridae
Exons: 3
Source: RefSeq, a predicted model, not a curated record